CCGAGUGAGGGUCCUUGUGGCCCGACCUCUCCACCCUUUGCUGUGACCGUGACCGUCCGUCUGUCGCCUCGGGGGACCCCGACGUUCGCGUCGGCCCCCCGGCGUGCCAACCAACCUCUGCAUCUUCAGUCGUCUGAGUCAUAUUGCAAAAUAAAGCA
This 158-nucleotide unclassified non-coding RNA is filed under the name uncultured Microcyclospora. RNAcentral's name for it is "sequence contains ITS1". The record is from RNAcentral. Lineage: Eukaryota; Fungi; Ascomycota; Dothideomycetes; Capnodiales.